RNAcentral lists this ribosomal RNA (519 nucleotides) under uncultured Glomus. RNAcentral's name for it is "SSU rRNA". It matches the Rfam family "Eukaryotic small subunit ribosomal RNA", at positions 569 to 1092 of the family's 1831-position model. Lineage: Eukaryota; Fungi; Glomeromycota; Glomeromycetes; Glomerales; Glomeraceae. The record is from RNAcentral.
AGCAGCCGCGGUAAUUCCAGCUCCAAUAGCGUAUAUUAAAGUUGUUGCAGUUAAAAAGCUCGUAGUUGAAUUUCGGGAUUAGUACGCUGGUCGUGCCUUUGGUAUGUACUGGUGUUACUGGUUCCUACCUUCUGACGAACCGUCAUGUCAUUAAUUUGGUGUGGCGGGGAAUCAGGACUGUUACUUUGAAAAAAUUAGAGUGUUUAAAGCAGGCUCGCGCUUGAAUACAUUAGCAUGGAAUAAUGAAAUAGGACGUUUGACCCUAUUUUGUUGGUUUCUAGGAUCGACGUAAUGAUUAAUAGGGAUAGUUGGGGGCAUUAGUAUUCAAUUGUCAGAGGUGAAAUUCUUGGAUUUAUUGAAGACUAACUACUGCGAAAGCAUUUGCCAAGGAUGUUUUCAUUAAUCAAGAACGAAAGUUAGGGGAUCGAAGACGAUCAGAUACCGUCGUAGUCUUAACCAUAAACUAUGCCGACUAGGGAUCGGAUGAUAAUUUAUUAAUAACUCAUUCGGCGCCUUACG